Long non-coding RNA from Passer domesticus (house sparrow), 948 nucleotides. RefSeq lists it as uncharacterized. The record is from RefSeq and is a predicted model, not a curated record. Lineage: Eukaryota; Metazoa; Chordata; Aves; Passeriformes; Passeridae. The transcript has 3 exons.
ACUGUGCACUUGGGGACCAGCAAGUACCCACCAAACAGGGAACACCAUAGCACAGACCAGGGUGAUAGGGGCUUUUUGCCUGGUCCCAGAUCUGCCUAUGGGUCCACCAAGAUGAUGAGCCUUCUCUUCUUAAGGAAGAUUGCAGUUUGCAUCCAAGUUCAUGGAGUUUCCAUUAUGCAGGCAUUAGGUUAGAAAGAGCAGGUACUCAGAGCAGGAGACACAGGGAUAUGUUUGGGUGCUGUCUGAGACGCAAAUUGAAGAGCUCAGGAAACUGUAUUAAAACUACUACCCCCAAUUCCCAGAGCUUCCCAGAUGGUGUGAAUCUGCUUAGCUCUGGGAAAUCAAUGGAAUCACUCUUCCUGAUGCCACAGAAGAAGUCAGCCAAUCAAACUCUGGGCAAAACACUUUCAGAAUGUCCUUGUCUGAAAGGAAGAGAGGGAAAAUAUACAGGAGUUGCAGAGCUCUUUAUGCCAUGCAGGCCAAAGUGGCAGAAUGGAAACAUCAGAGUGGUGCUGGCCACUGUCUUUGGUGCUGUCAUGUCUGUUUUCAUGCAGUGCCUCAUCCAGAGCCUUGGAUCCAUAUGCAAAGCUGGGCUUGGCUGAGAGGUGUGCAGCAAACAGAUCACCCUGCCUGCACCCAGCAAGUGGUGCCACAUCAAGGAGAUGGAGAAGAAAGUGUGAUACAGAGCAAGAAGAAGGCAAAUUAGACCUGAAAUUUUAGUAGUCAAAGGGGACAAAUAAAAAGCAGAAAACAUGUGUGAAGGAAGAUGAGACUGGAGUUGAAAGCCUCUUUAGCUAGGCAUAAAUCUGUGCUGCUGCUAGGGACAGCCUCUCCUGUCCCCUUUCCCCAGUUGUUUCCUCCCUUUCAAUCUGAGCUGGCUGGAAAUGGCUAAACCAAGAGAAGCUGAGAUGCUGGCCAGUGACAAAGCUCAGGAGGAGUCAUAGGAAA